Molecule: ribosomal RNA, 776 nt
Filed under: uncultured Neocallimastigales
Lineage: Eukaryota; Fungi; Neocallimastigomycota; Neocallimastigomycetes; Neocallimastigales
Description: partial large subunit ribosomal RNA
Rfam family: Eukaryotic large subunit ribosomal RNA
Source: RNAcentral
AGAGAGAGACAUGCGCGCAUAUCAAUAAGCGGAGGAAAAGAAACUAACUAGGAUUCCCUCAGUAACGGCGAGUGAAGCGGGAAGAGCUCAAAUUUGAAAUCUUCAAGGGUUCUACCUUUACGAAUUGUAGUUUAAAGAAGUGUUUUCUGUUGAGGUUUUGGUAAAAGUUCUUUGGAAUAGGACAUCAUAGAGGGUGAGAAUCCCGUAUUUGACCAUUAUUUCCAGCUUUGUGAUACACUUUCAAAGAGUCGGAUUGUUUGGGAAUGCAGUCCAAAAUGGGUGGUAAAUUUCAUCUAAAGCUAAAUAUUGGCGAGAGACCGAUAGCGAACAAGUACCGUGAGGGAAAGAUGAAAAGAACUUUGAAAAGAGAGUUAAACAGUACGUGAAAUUGUCAAAAGGGAAGCGUUUGACACCAGUGUUGUUUUCUCGAAAAUCAAUUAAAAAAGGCAGGAUUUUGUGUUGUAUUGACUUUAUCAGCUUUCUGCACUCUUUUCUUGUCUUUUUUUAAUGCACUUUUCGUUUAACAAGUCAACAUCAAUUUCUUUUGUUGUAAAAGGGUCAUUGGAAGGUGGCUUUCUUUUCGGAGAAAGUGUUUAUAGCCUUUGGCCUCUGCAAUCGGAGAGAUUGAGGUCUGCAGCGUAGAUCCUUCGGGGUUAGAUACAUUUGUGCUAAGUUAUAGCCUUUUCAUAGACAACUUGUUGACUAUGAUCAGUCAUGUAGCUUACUCGCCUAUGCUAUUUUACCUACGCUUAGGAUGUUGAUGUGAUACUGCGAGC